UACGGAGGUGGCAAGCGUUACUCGGUUUGACUGGGUGUAAAGGGUCCGCAGGCGGCCAAAUAAGUGAAAAGUGAAAAUCAUCUGCUCAACAGAUGAACUGCUUUUCAAACUAUUUGGCUGGAGGUUGGAAGAGGAGAGCGGAACUGCCAGUGGAAGGGUGAAAUCUGUAGAUAUUGGCAGGAACACCUGUGGCGUAGGCGGCUCUCUGGUCCAAUCCUGACGCUCAGGGACGAAAGCUAGGGGAGCAAACAGG
RNAcentral lists this ribosomal RNA (253 nucleotides) under uncultured microorganism. Its description in RNAcentral is "partial 16S ribosomal RNA". It matches the Rfam family "Bacterial small subunit ribosomal RNA", at positions 524 to 776 of the family's 1533-position model. The record is from RNAcentral.